RNAcentral lists this transfer RNA (86 nucleotides) under Rhodoblastus sp. RNAcentral describes it as "tRNA-Leu". It matches the Rfam family "tRNA". Rfam says of the family: Transfer RNA (tRNA) molecules are approximately 80 nucleotides in length. Their secondary structure includes four short double-helical elements and three loops (D, anti-codon, and T loops). Further hydrogen bonds mediate the characteristic L-shaped molecular structure. tRNAs have two regions of fundamental functional importance: the anti-codon, which is responsible for specific mRNA codon recognition, and the 3' end, to which the tRNAs corresponding amino acid is attached (by aminoacyl-tRNA synthetases). tRNAs cope with the degeneracy of the genetic code in two manners: having more than one tRNA (with a specific anti-codon) for a particular amino acid; and 'wobble' base-pairing, i.e. permitting non-standard base-pairing at the 3rd anti-codon position. The record is from RNAcentral. RNAcentral also lists the same sequence under 1 other name. Lineage: Bacteria; Pseudomonadati; Pseudomonadota; Alphaproteobacteria; Hyphomicrobiales; Rhodoblastaceae.
GCGGACGUGGCGAAACUGGUAGACGCAAGGGACUUAAAAUCCCUCGGGCACCCCCCGUGCGGGUUCGAUCCCCGCCGUCCGCACCA